ACCUGACCAGCCUACCGCCCUUCGACACAAAAGCCUUGGAGGAUGAGGCAACCAAGAUUAAAAAAGAGGCAUCUGACCUGGACAAACUUAUUGAUAAAACUGAGAAGGAGUAUAAUGAUCUCCGGGAUGAUCUGAGAGGGAAAAGAGCAGGAAGUGCGCAAACUGCUUGAUAAAGGCAAGAGUGAGCAGCAGACUGCUGACCAGCUGCUUGCUCGUGCCGAUGCAGCUAAAGCUCUUGCUGAAGAAGCAGCAAAGAAAGGCCAGUCCACAUUCAGAG
Long non-coding RNA from Periophthalmus magnuspinnatus, 277 nucleotides. RefSeq lists it as uncharacterized. The record is from RefSeq and is a predicted model, not a curated record. NCBI's taxonomy places the organism in Eukaryota, Metazoa, Chordata, Actinopteri, Gobiiformes, Gobiidae. The transcript has 3 exons.